This 324-nucleotide ribosomal RNA is filed under the name uncultured eukaryote. Its description in RNAcentral is "partial 18S ribosomal RNA". It matches the Rfam family "Eukaryotic small subunit ribosomal RNA", at positions 1470 to 1796 of the family's 1831-position model. The record is from RNAcentral.
CCCUUAGAUGUUCUGGGCUGCACGCGCGCUACACUGAAGCUAUCAACACGUUUUCCCUCCCUGAGAAGGGCGGGUAACCUUUUGAAUCAGCUUCGUGGUAGGGAUCGGGGCUUGCAAUUGUUCCCCGUGAACCAGGAAUUCCUAGUAGACGCGAGUCAUAAGCUCGCAUCGAUUAAGUCCCUGCCCUUUGUACACACCGCCCGUCGCUACUACCGGUUGAACGUUUUAGUGAGGCAUUUGGACCGACGCAUCUCAGUUUAACCGCUGGUUUGUGUUGGAAAGACUUCCAAACUUGAGCGUUUAGAGGAAGUAAAAGUCGUAACA